Molecule: ribosomal RNA, 397 nt
Filed under: uncultured bacterium
Lineage: Bacteria
Description: partial 16S ribosomal RNA
Rfam family: Bacterial small subunit ribosomal RNA
Source: RNAcentral
AUACGUAGGGGGCGAGCGUUGUCCGGAAUGAUUGGGCGUAAAGGGCGCGUAGGCGGCCCGGUAAGUCUGGAGUGAAAGUCCUGUUUUUAAGAUGGGAAUUGCUUUGGAUACUGUCGGGCUUGAGUGCAGGAGAGGUAAGUGGAAUUCCCAGUGUAGCGGUGAAAUGCGUAGAGAUUGGGGGGAACACCAGUGGCGAAGGCGACUUACUGGACUGUAACUGACGCUGAGGCGCGAAAGUGUGGGGAGCAAACAGGAUUAGAUACCCUGGUAGUCCACACUGUAAACGAUGAAUGCUAGGUGUAGGGGGUAUCGACCCCUUCUGUGCCGCAGUCAACACAAUAAGCAUUCCGCCUGGGGAGUACGGCCGCAAGGUUGAAACUCAAAGGAAUUGGCGGGG